This 266-nucleotide ribosomal RNA is filed under the name uncultured bacterium. Its description in RNAcentral is "partial 16S ribosomal RNA". It matches the Rfam family "Bacterial small subunit ribosomal RNA", at positions 89 to 354 of the family's 1533-position model. The record is from RNAcentral.
CGAUGAGUGGCGGACGGGUGGAGUAACGACGUGGGCGAACCUGCCUCGUACAGGGGGACAACACUUAGAAAUAGGUGCUAAUACCGCAUAACGGGGGGAGCCGCAUGGCACCCCCUGAAAACUCCGGUGGUACAGGAUGGGCCCGCGUCUGAUUAGCUGGUUGGCAGGGUAACGGCCUACCAAGGCGACGAUCAGUAGCCGGCCUGAGAGGGCGGACGGCCACACUGGGACUGAGACACGGCCCAGACUCCUACGGAAGGCAGCAG